UGGCAAUUACACACCCUCCAUCAAAUACGUGUCCUUGUCUUUCUCUUUCUCUUUCUCUUUCUCAUCCCUGUGAUGUACUAAUAAUAAGCAUACAAAUACAGCAAUCAACAGAGCAAAAAUAAAUUGUUGUUGGUGUGCUAGCUCUCUGCCGGAAUGCGUGAUACUCUUGUGUUGACAAUGAAAAUCCUCCAAAACAAGGUAUUGUUUCCUUUAUGAUAUUAUGAAAUAUGGGAUUUGAAAUUUAACUUCUUCCUUUUUAAGUAACCAUCUUAUAUAAUUUGCUGCUAUUUUACGCAUCAACUCUACCAUCCUCACCGAUUCUACAUAAGCAUUGCUCAUUUGAUCCGCCAGACAUGGCAAAAAUUCAACUCAUUUUGUCUAACUUUUUUCAAGAAAAAGCUAAUAUAACUCCAUACAUAACACCAACACCCUAUCCAAAAAAAUUACAACAUUACAUUAAUGGCAAAUAGCUCAUUUUUGUUACACCUUUUGUUGUUUCUUGUUAUUACCUUGAGUGUCUUAACUUUUUUCAAGAAAAAGCUAAUAUAACUCCAUACAUAACACCAACACCUUAUCCAAAAAAAUUACAACAUUGUAUUAAUGGCAAAUAGCUCAUUUUUGUUACACAUUUUGUUGUUUCAUGUUAUUACUUUGAGUUUAGUUUAUGUGAUUUUAUCACGAUAUGAGUUGGAAGAACUUACAUGGUUAGAUGACAAAGAUGAUAAAAUAUCUAUGUUUCAUAGUCAACAUUUUGCUAUGAAUAAAUGUGAUUUUAGUUUAGGGUUGUAGCUGUUGUUACUUAUACCAAGACUGGUAGACCUGAUACUGAUUAUAAAAAGUGAAGAUAGAAACUCAUGGUUGUGAAAUUCCAAGGUAUUUUGUAAUAUGUUUUUCAGUUGCAUAGUUUAAGAAAUGUUUUUUUUUUCGCUGUUCUCUGUCUUGAAGCAAUGAUAAAAUUAUUUUCAUGUAAGCAUGGGCUGAGCACUUCAUGAUAUUUUGAGUCCUUAGUGAAAAUCAUGACUAAGCUAUUGCUUUUUACAUAUGUAUAUAUUCACUGGCUUGUAAACGUUUUGUUCCUAUUCUUUCAUUUUCAUAUAGAAAAUGGUUAUUAAAACACUUUAACACUUCGUAAUUUUAUGCAACAGAUUUCAGUUAUAUGAUUGCGCAUUUCAAAUCUCAAGCCAAGGAUAUAUCAUAUAUUGUUAUCUAUGUAAAUAAAAUGUACAUAACCCCUUGUAUAAUUUGGCUCCUUGACGUAUACGAUAAAGAAAAUAGUUUGUUGUAUGUAUUGAUGCAUUACAAUUAUUCUUUUCAUGCAGCAUGUUGGGUUCGUGCUAACACGGCCCCGCCCCCCAGUUUAAAAGAAGUAAAAACUCCUAAUAUUUAAUACACUACUAAAUCAAUUAAAAUACCAUCUUAUAUAAUUCUAUUUAACUGACUUUUUGUGAACGAAGGUUUUAACUUUCAAUAAUAUAAUAUGCAUUUAUUUUUUCUUCUUCAUUUUCUUUUUUAUUUGAUUUUGAUUCAACUUAUUUUUAAUAUUUAUCACACUUCUAAAUCAAUUAAAAUAUUGCUUUAUAUAAUUAAAUUUAACUAACUUUUUGUGAACAAAAAUUUAGCUCUCAUUAAUAUAAUAUGUAUUUAUUUUUUCUUCUUCCUUUGCUUUUUUAUUUGAUUUAGAUUCAACUUAUUUUUGUUCUUUGUGCACUCAAUGUGGUCUAUUUUUCUCUUUCUUUUAGUUUUUUUCCUUUCUUUUAGUUAAUAAUGAUAGGAUGAUUUUUUAUGUCAGUUGCUAUGAUUAUGUGAUUUGCAUAGGCUAAAAAUUAAUAAUUGAUUCUCAUAUUUUUUGAUUUGCAUAGGCUAAAAAUUAAUAAUUGAUUCUCAUAUUUUUUGAGUUUUUUCGCUUUCUGCUGAACCUUUUGUUGGAAAAAAGUGGAGAACUACGCAAUUAUGUUGCCAAGGAAUGAAGUGGAUCAGAUGAUGAUAAUCAAUUGUUAUAUGACUUAGAAGGUUGUGUUUCUAAUUAUAAUUCAUUGGAGUUGUAUGUGGCAUUCAAUUGAUGAUAUGUAUGUUCUUAUUUGGUUUGGACCUAAAGUUCUUACUUCUUCUUUUUCCAUGAAUUGCGGAUAUAAGAAGAAAAAUUAAUUUUUGGGAAAGAAGAGCAAAGAAAAGACUAUUAUUGUCAUGUCGAAAGAAUUCACACUUCCAAAUUGAUAAUUUUUAUUUCUGAGAA
Capsicum annuum is the source of this 2233-nucleotide long non-coding RNA. RefSeq lists it as uncharacterized. Lineage: Eukaryota; Viridiplantae; Streptophyta; Magnoliopsida; Solanales; Solanaceae. The transcript is spliced from 2 exons. The record is from RefSeq and is a predicted model, not a curated record.